CAAACUUUACCACACUUACCGUGAAAAUGCUUGAUGGGUAGCUCAGGAUUCAGCUGAGCCAGCAAAAUUUCACACAUUUCAGCAGCAAUAAAAAAAAAAAAACAAUGGUGCCAAACUUAGCUUGUAUUCAGAAUAGAGGGAGUGAGUGAGUGUAAGUAGCAGCAAGUAGCAACACUAGUAGCUCGAAAGAGAUGAGGUGUGAACAGUGAAGAGAAUAUUUGAGAGGUGGAUAUAAAGUCACGGGAAAGAAAGACAUGAGAGGAGGAGUGAGUGCUUUUUGCUUUUGGGUUCAACUUUUGAUAAAAAGUGAGCGAUUUUUUGAAUGUUUGGGAACUACAACGUGAGAAGAUACAGCAAAAUUUGUGUCUUUUCUGCAGCAACCGAGGUUCUUUUCAUAUAUUUUCUUCCACUUACUACAUUUUACGGAUUUUUAAUAGAUAAAUUUGAAAAUCAUUCUGAUCUUUUUUCAAAUUUUAAUGAUGUUCUGCACUUUAUAAUGAAAGAGAAAAAAAAAUUAACUUGAUAUAAUUAUUUAGCUGGGAAAGAUUGAUGCUAUAUUUAGCAAAUCCGGGAUAAAGAUAGGGAAUCAGAAUAAAUAACUUAUUUAUUUGUUAAAUUGACGUUGGGUCCACAUAAAUUUUGGAUCAGGAGAAAUUAGAACCGUAUUCCCUAAAAUGACGAAAUUAUCCCCACUACAACUCUAAUAUCCCCAAAAUACCCUCCCUGGAAAUUUUUUUAAAAAAAAUGCAAACCUAAGCAAGCAGCCGCUGCCCAAAGGAAAAUGAUCGGACUCAUCAUCGAUGUUGCACGUGCUGUCGCUGACAUCACAGCUGCUCGUGCUCGUUUUCCACAUCACAGCCGUUCGUGCUCGCGCUCGUCGUUGCCGUUUCUUCCUACGUCAUGCACUCGUGGUCGUCCACACAUCAUAGCAGCUCGUUACAGAUCGGAUUUGCUACCCUCCGUCACGCAUCGUCGUCGUCCCCACAUCGCAGCUCGUCACCGACGGAUCUGAGUCGCGCCAAUUGUCCCCGCAUUUAUUUAUUAAUGCAAUUGUUAUUAUUAUUGAUUAUUUCUAUUUUAGUUAUUAUUAUAAUAAAUGCAAAUUUACUAAUGUUAUUUUUAUUAUUAUUAAUUACUAUUUUAGUUAUUAUUUUUAUUUUUAUUAUUAUAAAAUUUAUUAU
RNAcentral lists this long non-coding RNA (1181 nucleotides) under Citrus maxima (pomelo). Its description in RNAcentral is "long non-coding RNA (CMAX_LNC000456)". Lineage: Eukaryota; Viridiplantae; Streptophyta; Magnoliopsida; Sapindales; Rutaceae. The record is from RNAcentral.